AGUGAUGUGAUCAACCAUUUUUUUGGCUAAGUGGUACAUUCCACCUGUAUAAAAGGGGAUGUGAUUGACAUCCAGGUAGCGUGUCAUUUGGGGUCUCGGACGUGACGUCAUUCUUUGUGUGCCGUGUUUAUGUCCAGCAGUGUGGCUGAGGAGAGAUUUUAUUUGCGGAUAAACGUUUAUCUCUGCAAACCUCCAACUCGUACGCCAGUGAGUGCGCGGGUCAGUGCGAGUCUUUAUCUGCAGUGACACGGGGGGGCCAGGAGGUGUUGCAGCAGGCUUUUGGUGAUCUAUUUGAAAAUACGAGUAUCUUUAUGUGUUUGAGUCUCGGCACCGGAGAGCUUUCGGGCGCAGCGGAUUGUCUUUCAUUGUGCCUGCUAAUUCUUUCGACUACUCUUCUGCCAUUUACCGGACGGUGAAUGUUGUUGUUGCACCGCAUACUCUGAUUUAAUUGACCGACUUCCUUGUAGUGUACGUGGAUUAAUUUGACGAUCGGAACGAUCGCGUUCCCGGUCUGAAGCGACGCAUUGCCCUCAAAUAUUUAUUGACUAAAAACUUGUGGUGGGGUAAUUACAGUGACGAAUCACUAAGUGUUUGACACGACCAUUGUGUUUGACUGUUUCUUUGUCAGAGGAUUUCUUAUUGAACUGCUUCAUUGACGGUUGUAUUUUAUUUUUGUAUAUGCAUACUGUUGACACUUCACAAGAUGUUAUGCUGCCCACAGUUUGUGAGUACCAGUGAGUGAGGAUUGCCAGUAACCUGGUGUCCUUGGUUCCGUCAGGCAGCAAGUGAUAAGUGUUUCUGACAAACUAUACUUUGAUGUGCAUAUGUGACUGUGUGUAUGUGUGUGAAUGCAUGUAUUUGUUUCUUAUCCUGUUUUGUUUCUUUUCCCUUCAGAAUUGGGGGGUACCAGUCCUAGCCAGUGUCCUGUGUGUGGUGGUGGUGCGGCUGUGGAUUUGCAGUGUUCACAACGUGGGUGUUGGUGCUGUGUUGUGAGGGCACGAGUGGUUGCUGUGUUCACUGGAUAAGUAACUUGAAUCCCCCAGUUCGGAAGUUGGAAAAAUGUGUUUGCAUUUCAUGUUUUUAUGAUCAACGCUUAUUUUUUUUAUUGUUUAUGAAUCUCGUAUGUAUUAAAUAGUGAUUUUAAUAAAUUUGUUGAAUUCUUUAUACUGUUGUCUGAUAUCUGUCUCAGCCACCACGUAUCUGUGUGCUGGUGGUACAUUGUAUACCGGUAGGUCCCCGGCCGAUUUCCGGGGUGGCGUAGUCUAUUUCUUGCCAUCGUUGGCGCUGGGUUAAAUUCCCGACAGCAGCGUGCCACACUAAAUAUUAUUCUCUUUCUCAUUU
Long non-coding RNA from Cyprinus carpio (common carp), 1341 nucleotides. RefSeq lists it as uncharacterized. The transcript is spliced from 3 exons. The record is from RefSeq and is a predicted model, not a curated record. NCBI's taxonomy places the organism in Eukaryota, Metazoa, Chordata, Actinopteri, Cypriniformes, Cyprinidae.